Molecule: transfer RNA, 57 nt
Filed under: Dipodomys ordii (Ord's kangaroo rat)
Lineage: Eukaryota; Metazoa; Chordata; Mammalia; Rodentia; Heteromyidae
Rfam family: tRNA
About the family: Transfer RNA (tRNA) molecules are approximately 80 nucleotides in length. Their secondary structure includes four short double-helical elements and three loops (D, anti-codon, and T loops).
Source: Rfam by way of RNAcentral
UGGCUCAGUGGUAGAGUGCUUGCCUUGCAUGCAUGAGGCCCUGGGUUCGAUUCUCAG